CAAAGAUUGUAUCCUCGUAUGAGUGAUUCUACAGUAAUAAACAGAAGCAUAUGGCAAAAAAAAAGGGUAACCAAAAUCAUAUCGUUAAAACUUUACAACUCUGUAACUUUGCAACUUUGCAAUCUAGGGCUGCUGGAUCAGUGAGUCCCUCCAGUGGGUUUGGACUGGGGCUGGUGGUGUCCCUGCCAGUCAGGUGCCAGGCGGGCAGUCGGCUGCAGUUCUUGGCACAAAUGGUACCACACUGGAUGGGUCCCAUCUGUGGGCGCGAUUUGAGUCCGCUGGGGCUGCCGUCACC
This is a non-coding RNA of Pelobates cultripes (western spadefoot toad), 295 nucleotides long. Lineage: Eukaryota; Metazoa; Chordata; Amphibia; Anura; Pelobatidae. The record is from the annotation of a GenBank genome assembly.